This 408-nucleotide ribosomal RNA is filed under the name uncultured bacterium. RNAcentral's name for it is "bacterial SSU rRNA". It matches the Rfam family "Bacterial small subunit ribosomal RNA", at positions 28 to 412 of the family's 1533-position model. The record is from RNAcentral.
GACGAACGCUGGCGGCGUGCUUAACACAUGCAAGUCGAACGAGACGAUUUAGAAGCUUGCUUUUAUUGAGUCGAGUGGCAAACGGGUGAGUAACGCGUAGACAACCUGCCCGCAAAGAUGGGGACAACAGUCCGAAAGGACUGCUAAUACCGAAUGUUGUAUCUCCUCCGCAUGAAACGAGAUAUUAAAGAUGGCCUCUACUUGUAAGCUAUCGCUUUGCGAUGGGUCUGCGUCUGAUUAGCUAGUUGGAGGGUAACGGCCCACCAAGGCGACGAUCAGUAGCCGGUCUGAGAGGAUGAACGGCCACAUUGGGACUGAGACACGGCCCAGACUCCUACGGGAGGCAGCAGUGGGGAAUCUUCCGCAAUGGACGAAAGUCUGACGGAGCAACGCCGCGUGAACGAUGAC